This 112-nucleotide Y RNA is filed under the name Prolemur simus (greater bamboo lemur). Its description in RNAcentral is "Y RNA (ENSPSMG00000002391.1)". It matches the Rfam family "Y RNA". From Rfam's summary of the family: Y RNAs are components of the Ro ribonucleoprotein particle (Ro RNP), in association with Ro60 and La proteins. The record is from Rfam by way of RNAcentral. Lineage: Eukaryota; Metazoa; Chordata; Mammalia; Primates; Lemuridae.
GGCUGGUCCGAAGGUAGUGAGUUAUCUCACUUGAUUGUUCAGUCAGUUACAGAUUGUACUCCUUGUUCUACUACUUUCCCUCCUCCUCACUACUGCACUUGACUAGUCUAAA